Molecule: ribosomal RNA, 429 nt
Filed under: bacterium
Lineage: Bacteria
Description: partial 16S ribosomal RNA
Rfam family: Bacterial small subunit ribosomal RNA
Source: RNAcentral
UAGGGAAUCUUCGGCAAUGGGGGCAACCCUGACCGAGCAACGCCGCGUGAGUGAAGAAGGUUUUCGGAUCGUAAAGCUCUGUUGUAAGAGAAGAACGUGUGUGAGAGUGGAAAGUUCACACAGUGACGGUAACUUACCAGAAAGGGACGGCUAACUACGUGCCAGCAGCCGCGGUAAUACGUAGGUCCCGAGCGUUGUCCGGAUUUAUUGGGCAUAAAGCGAGCGCAGGCGGUUUAAUAAGUCUGAAGUUAAAGGCAGUGGCUUAACCAUUGUUCGCUUUGGAAACUGUUAAACUUGAGUGCAGAAGGGGAGAGUGGAAUUCCAUGUGUAGCGGUGAAAUGCGUAGAUAUAUGAAGGAACACCGGUGGCGAAAGCGGCUCUCUGGUCUGUAACUGACGCUGAGGCUCGAAAGCGUGGGGAGCAAACAGG